Molecule: ribosomal RNA, 684 nt
Filed under: Lingulaulax polyedra
Lineage: Eukaryota; Dinophyceae; Gonyaulacales; Lingulodiniaceae
Description: Lingulodinium polyedra partial Bacterial small subunit ribosomal RNA
Rfam family: Bacterial small subunit ribosomal RNA
Source: RNAcentral
UUGAGAGUUUGAUCCUGGCUCAGAACGAACGCUGGCGGCAGGCCUAACACAUGCAAGUCGAGCGCUUCACUUCGGUGAGGAGCGGCGGACGGGUUAGUAACGCGUGGGAACAUACCCUUCUCUAAGGAAUAGCCACUGGAAACGGUGAGUAAUACCUUAUACGCCCUUCGGGGGAAAGAUUUAUCGGAGAAGGAUUGGCCCGCGUUAGAUUAGAUAGUUGGUGGGGUAAUGGCCUACCAAGUCUACGAUCUAUAGCUGGUUUGAGAGGAUGAUCAGCCACACUGGGACUGAGACACGGCCCAGACUCCUACGGGAGGCAGCAGUGGGGAAUCUUAGACAAUGGGCGCAAGCCUGAUCCAGCCAUGCCGCGUGAGUGAUGAAGGCCUUAGGGUCGUAAAGCUCUUUCGCCAGGGAUGAUAAUGACAGUACCUGGUAAAGAAACCCCGGCUAACUCCGUGCCAGCAGCCGCGGUAAUACGGAGGGGGUUAGCGUUGUUCGGAAUUACUGGGCGUAAAGCGCACGUAGGCGGAUCAGAAAGUUGGGGGUGAAAUCCCGGGGCUCAACCCCGGAACUGCCUUCAAAACUCCUGGUCUAGAGUUCGAGAGAGGUGAGUGGAAUUCCAAGUGUAGAGGUGAAAUUCGUAGAUAUUCGGAAGAACACCAGUGGCGAAGGCGGCUCACUGGC